UAGGGAAUCUUCGGCAAUGGACGAAAGUCUGACCGAGCAACGCCGCGUGAGUGAAGAAGGUUUUCGGAUCGUAAAACUCUGUUGUUAGAGAAGAACAAGGACGUUAGUAACUGAACGUCCCCUGACGGUAUCUAACCAGAAAGCCACGGCUAACUACGUGCCAGCAGCCGCGGUAAUACGUAGGUGGCAAGCGUUGUCCGGAUUUAUUGGGCGUAAAGCGAGCGCAGGCGGUUUCUUAAGUCUGAUGUGAAAGCCCCCGGCUCAACCGGGGAGGGUCAUUGGAAACUGGGAGACUUGAGUGCAGAAGAGGAGAGCGGAAUUCCAUGUGUAGCGGUGAAAUGCGUAGAUAUAUGGAGGAAAACCAGUGGCGAAGGCGGCUCUCUGGUCUGUAACUGACGCUGAGGCUCGAAAGCGUGGGGAGCAAACAGG
This 429-nucleotide ribosomal RNA is filed under the name Gemmatimonadota bacterium. Its description in RNAcentral is "Gemmatimonadetes bacterium partial 16S ribosomal RNA". It matches the Rfam family "Bacterial small subunit ribosomal RNA", at positions 355 to 776 of the family's 1533-position model. Lineage: Bacteria; Pseudomonadati; Gemmatimonadota. The record is from RNAcentral.